AGGGAAUAGAUACCCCAGGUAGUCCUGGCAGUAAACGGUGCGCGUUUGGUGUGGGAGGAAUCGACCCCUUCCGUGCCGGAGCUAAACGCGUUAAAAACGCGCCGCCUGGGGAGUACGGUCGCAAGAUUAAAACUCAAAGAAAUUGACGGGGGCCCGCACAAGCGGUGGAGUAUGUGGCUUAAUUCGAUGCAACGCGAAGAACCUUACCUGGGCUUGACAUGCAUCUCUAAGUCGGUGAAAGCCGGCGAGUCCCGCAAGGGACGAUUUGCACAGGUGCUGCAUGGCUGUCGUCAGCUCGUGUCGUGAGAUGUU
Molecule: ribosomal RNA, 312 nt
Filed under: uncultured bacterium
Lineage: Bacteria
Description: bacterial SSU rRNA
Rfam family: Bacterial small subunit ribosomal RNA
Source: RNAcentral